CCCUGCCUUUUAACUGAUUCCUUCUGCACCUUCUGGAUGGAGAAGGCUUGAAACCUUGAACUUACAUAAAGAUUUGUAAAUAUGGAGGAUGCUUGGCAAGUCAUGCUUCUAAGUUCUUUCCAUCUUAUUUUUAUGAUUAUUAUUGUUUUAUAAUUCUGCCUUCCUUUGAAUUUCACAAAAUUUAAAGAUUAAUUUGAUUCCAUGUGCAGAAGUUAUUAGAACACACAUUAAGAAACCACAACUACAUGCCAUGGCAGCAAUUACUUGACUGGCUUUCCACAGAAGAAUUUCCUCACAUUGCAUGAUUACUUUGAGACUGUCGCCAGAAGAUUCAUACAAAGGUACUUCUGCCAUCCUUAGGACAAGCUAAAAUAACCAACUGGAAAUUGAGUUCACGGCUGAUGUUGGUUCGAUUUGCGGACAGCAGCCAGGUCUCUUACUGUAUGUUCUCUUUUAGAUGAGAUAGUUGCACCCAUUUUCAUAGAUCUUCCAUGUAAGUAAGGCCCAAUUGGAAAGAGUUGAUUAGUGAAUAAUUAGGUAAUAAAUUAAACUAAACAGCCGACCAAAGCAUGAGGUUUCCAUGUGAUUGAUGAUAGAGAUGGGUUUAGAAUCAAUUUUUGUCAUCCCUUUAAUUUUAUGGAACAAAACCCUAAUUAAUAACACUAAUGCAAUUGCUAAUUAGUGGCUUAAUGUCAACGCCUUCUUUCUCACUUUGUUAAUUUUUAAUACUGUAAAAUGCAUAUGGCCUAAUAUUUUUCCUAUAACGAAAGGAAGUGAAAUCUGAACUUAGAUGAUUGCAAAAUGGAACUCGAUAAUCAGGUUAAAGCUACUAUAUAUAUAUAUAUAUAAUUUUUUGGUUUUCCUUUUCUUUUCUUCCAAAGUUAUUAUCUCUGAUUUAUAGUCUUGCUUUUGUCUUUUGAAAUUCUAAAAUGGAGUUUGCAAAACUUCUGCAGGUAAACUUGGAGAAUAUGAAUAAAACCAGGCAUUGGAAAAUCGUGGGCUGUAGCGCAUACACAGGGGAGGGGCUGCUUGAGGGUUUUGAUUGGUUGGUUCAGGACAUGAUGAUACCUUAGGAUCUAGUCAACAUUAAGCAAUAGAGUUAGGUUUUUUUUUAUUGGCCCUCUCAGAGAACUGAUUAAGGUCCAUUUGUACUGUUUUAUUAACUAUCUUAUUGUUGUGAAAUUUAGUCAAGCUGUAAAACUUUUUGGGUCAAUAGUAUUAUUGAAACUUUCAAUGGGAAGUUUGGGUCAAUAUUAGUGACUAAUCAG
This 1268-nucleotide long non-coding RNA is filed under the name Manihot esculenta (cassava). RNAcentral describes it as "long non-coding RNA (MESC_LNC005381)". The record is from RNAcentral. Lineage: Eukaryota; Viridiplantae; Streptophyta; Magnoliopsida; Malpighiales; Euphorbiaceae.